This is a long non-coding RNA of Syngnathoides biaculeatus (alligator pipefish), 3337 nucleotides long. RefSeq lists it as uncharacterized. Lineage: Eukaryota; Metazoa; Chordata; Actinopteri; Syngnathiformes; Syngnathidae. The transcript has 10 exons. The record is from RefSeq and is a predicted model, not a curated record.
CAACAAGCCACGAGCAGCUUUGUCCGGAACUGCAGUAUUAUUUUCAUCACGGAGACGUGGCUCCACCCACGAAUCCCCAACGCUGCAGUUUUGCUAGCAGGCUGCACAGUACAUCGACAAGACAGAACCAAAGACUCCGGUGAGAUUACCAGUGGUGAAUGGAGAAUUGCUGCUGUGCACAUCCACCUCUCCAUCUUUGAGUUCCUCCUCAGUUUUGCGCUUUACACCUGUGAAGAGACAAUGAUGAUAAUCAUUGUUAUCCAAAGGACAGGGGCACAGCCAACAUUUAUGUGAUGACCGGAAUCGAUGAGCUGUAGAAUGGAGUCUCUCGGUGUCACUGCGAGUCGCGGUGACUUUAAAUACAUGCCAUAACUAAAGAGAGUGAGGCGCAGGUGAGGAGCUUCUGCUGAGGGCAGCCGCACAGAGCAGUGGCCUGGCCACGCCCCUGACAACAAAGAAAUACCACUUCAUUGAUGAGUGCUUACCUUUCCAGGCUCUGAAGUUUCUACUGGCAUUGUAGUUUUUGUGCAGAAGGAGGCCAUUCAUGAAAUUGUAGACUUUAGAACUAAUUGGGCGAUUCCUCAAGAAAUCACUGAUGAUUCUGGAUACAUCUGUAGGUGAAUCUAUGAGGUCUUAUCCCCACUCGGGUCACAGGCAUGCUGGAGACUAUCCCAACUGACUCUGCGUGAGAGCUGCAAUUCUUUUUGCACUCCACCCAUAUAUCCAUUAUUAACGGCUUAUUCGAGAUCCAGUCACGGGCCAUCUUCUUAUGCAGCACACCCCAGACUCCAGCCUCUCCGGCCACUUCAUCCAGCUGCUCCAGAGGAAUACCGAGGCAUCUGCAUGCCAGCCAAGAGACAUAGUCACUCCAACAUGUCCGAGGUUGGGUUGUCCCUCUGGCCUCCUCCCGGUGGGACCUAGCCUGAACACCUCAUCAGGUCAAGAUUCAAAAUGUCUGGGAAUGCAUCAUCCUGCCUGCACUAAAUCCAUUGACACGUCCAACCAUUGCAGUGAUAUCGCCAAGCACCAUACAAAUGAAAAGGCACAUCUGGGCUGUGUCAAUCACAUCCGUAGAUUCGUCCAACUGCAGUGAGAAACACUCACAAUCUCCAAUGUCCUUUCAGAUUUGCCGGAUUAAAUCCUCAUUCAUGGCUUCACAGCAACAUGUAACCGUAUGUCUGACAAUUGCAGUGCUUUGAUUGAAGAUUAUAUCCCUGCCUUAUUUUCCAAGUCCUGGAACAAUGAGUUCGCUGCUUCAACGAAUACCUCUUUUACCAUCUCUCUGUCUUCGAAGGACUUACUGUUUUUAACGAUAACAAGACACCCAGAACAAUGCUUCAGUGGCGGCUUUCACUUUUGAAGUUUGUCGAGUGAAAAAUGACUGCUGUCCAGACAACUGGGAUUUGAAUUCCUUCACCUUUCUCUUUCUCAGCUCACUUUUUGGCGGGACGUCGGUGUAUUUUCCAUGAACUGUCCAAAAAUGCCGUUCCAUAUUUCCCUUCUUUGGUAUUGCGAUGGUAGACUGGCAUAUGAGGCAAAUGCACUUCGAAAAUGACGUCGUGAAUAAAAUGUCCACAUCCCAUUCUGUAUGAAAGUGAUAUGUUUUUGCCUUCUUACUUGGUCCAGCUUCCUCAUUCAUUUUGAUGACCAUAAGUUUUAGCGAGGGCUUAAAAGUGGAGGAAGAUCACUGACUAGCUUGUAAAUUUUGCCGUGCUUAGUGCCAUUGAAAUGUCUUUCGUUGAAAGAUUUGUAUAUUUCGUAAGAUAAAUAAGUUAGCUAAAAAUAUGUUUAUUUCAUGAUACGGUGCAUUAAAAUGUUUAAAAGAAAAAGGAUCAGAAUGACACCUCUUGACCUGUGAGGAUCAUUCAGCUUCUAUGCGGAGUGAGUGCUCUGUAUGUUAUAGAGGAUCAUUGACGUGUCUCCGGUGAGAAUAUGAGCAUGGCUGACAUUAAGUCUGAAGGCAACUCAUAACUCUGUUGAAUGUGUUCUACACAUUUGAACCUUGGGAAACUUUUGUCUUUGAGGAUGCCAUUGCUGUGAUAUUCACAAGAGGGUUCUUCACUAAAAAAUAAAGAAAAAAAAAUGACAUAGUUGCUGAAAGAAAAAGGAAGAAGUUGCUGUUGUAUACAAGGUCUGUCAGAAAAGUUCCAGAACUGCUGACAUUACAAACCACAAGUUUUCCACUUUCCACAACAAAGAGAUCCUGCGGCAUUUGCUUCAUUUAGUGUGCAAGAAGUUAGAGUCUCACAAUGCCCUGAGGGUCCAACACUUCCUGGAGGAAAAUAACACUGACGUCCUGGAGCAACUUCCCUAAUCACCUGACCUGGCUCUAUGAGAUUGUUUUCUCAUCUUUCCUGAGUUCAAGGGUGUUAUCAAGGGAAUAUACUUUGAAGACAUAGUGAAACCUCAAGAUGCCGGGGACUGUGGAGCUGCGGAGGAUCCCAAAAGAAUCCUUCUAACUACAUGGAGAUAGCCCCCACAUUGUCUCUUGUGUUUUUAAGUUAUUAACCAAUCUUCAGUGUUGAAAAUACUGACCAAAGAGCAAAUCUAUGUACUCUUCUUCAUAUUAGCAGUCUGAGAAGUGUCAUUACUUUUAAGACUUUAUCCUCACUCCAAAGGAGCCUCACAACAUUAAGUUACUUAAAAGACUGAAAGUGUAUAUUCUUUUAGAUAAAAUAUUGCUCAGCUCAUUGUUUUUUUUCUUUAAUUGCAUCUCUUAUGGCUCCUAGACGCAGCGGGUGGUAGUGAUGUGAUAUGUCGAGUAAUUGACUUUACACUGAUCCACUCGGUUUGAUCGGUAUUGGUCGAUAAUUAGCAUUGUAUGCUAAUCAGCUGAUUGGCUUCUAUGUUAUAUUGCACCAAUCGAGUCACUGACAUCAUCGCUCGGCUCCACAAAGGGGCUUUACUCUGUGUCCCCAUCGCGUAUGAAUCUAAAGCUAGUUUAUUUUUAGUUUUUUUACGUGUUUUGUGAUGUUGUGCUGUAGCAAUCGAUGGCCAAAUCACGUUUUUUUUUUUUUUCAAUCUUAUUGGUGAAAAAACACAUAAUCGGUGUGGGACUAUUUUACAGUGUCUCAGAGAAACAACACAAGCUAUUUUCAAUCUGUGUACAACUGAAAGUACGUCUUGUAGUACAUCAUUGAAAUUCUUCAACGUGAAAAAUUUGGUCUGGCACCUGAAGAAUGUACACAAGGAAGAGCAUGCCGUGUCCAAGCAACACAGCGUAGGGAGGAACCAAAAAAAGGGAAAAUCCAACGCGGACAAACUCUGGACAACACCGAACCAUAUCGCCGGGACAAUGAAAAAGUAAGCAUGUCAUUAAAAGGUAUUUGUUAAAGUA